Molecule: long non-coding RNA, 1946 nt
Organism: Tetranychus urticae (two-spotted spider mite)
Lineage: Eukaryota; Metazoa; Arthropoda; Arachnida; Trombidiformes; Tetranychidae
Source: RefSeq, a predicted model, not a curated record
UUCGUUGAGUGUCACACAAUUCAUUAUUGUUUAAUUCAAAGAUUAAUACAUUAAUCUUUGGUUUAAUUUGUGUUGAUAAUCUGUUAUUUUGAGUGUCAAUAUUGCAUUAGCGAGUAUCAUCGACGUUGCCAUUAGCAACUCGGACCAUAUGAUCGAAACAUGUGACUGUCUUUAAAUUUUUAAAGCUUUUUGUGGGAAAACAUAACAGUAAGUCAGAUUGAGUAAGACAAGUAAACUUUAUGACCUUGCUAAGAAUGUGUUUUUUUCUUGAUUUAUAUUCUGUAUUUGUUUAAUUGACUCAAUCUUCUUCAGCUUCUUUCUAUCAAAUGUCAUUUAAUUUCGAUUAAGGUCAUUUAUUGGUGAUUCCAUUGAUUCUAAGGCUGAACUCAUUGAAUCAAAACUUGGACCUUAUUUAUGUGUCUUCUUUUUGUUCAUCCAUCUUUACUUAGUUUAUUCUCAUCUGAAAUUUUUUUUAUGAAUCCAUUGUAUCAAGUAAAGCAAAGUAAACUGAACCUGAAACAUCAGUAAAAGGAUGGUGAGUUUCUGUUGGUGAGGACUGAAGAGGAAAAGAAUGCAAAAGGUCAAAGAAACCCGUAAACCGGUUUUAAAGUUUGUGGCGUGUAACCCAUAAUAUACCAACAUCGUCCAUGAAGAAGGCCGCCAUCUUUUUUCACUGUUUCCAGAUUUUUUGCCAACACAUCUAACAGGAAACGUCAACUUGAGUACACCUCUUCAUAUUUGAAACAUCUUAUAAGAUCAAAUGUUAUCAAAUGGAAGAUGCAAAGACACGAAAUAUGUGGAUAAAUUUGGAGGAAUCAUGAAAGCUGCUGAUAUAGACGUUACUAAGCUUAAAGAACAAUCGGAAUAAAAAAUAGAUGGAGUAGAAUGGAAUAAUGGCGGAGAAAAGAACUGAAACUGGAAUUAGGAUGAAUGAAGAAAUAUAAUGGCAAUGAUAAUAAAAAAGCUGUUUUAAUGAUCUGGCCAAAAAAGUUUAGCGAGGCCCGAAAUAGCUAUUACCUGUUAAAUUUUUCGUGUUACUGUUAAACCAUAUCAAAAAAAAACUUCUUCAGAAUGGAACCAAAGAAGCUGUCUGAUAGUUGUAAAGAAAAAAGGAGAAAAUUUUAAAUUCAAGUUUCAUCUUGAAAUAUCUUCUCUCAAUAUCUUAUCAGCUAACAAAGUGGUUAUGAAGUUUUGACAUUUCUUGGCGAGUCGUUAACAAAAUGCCUAACUUACAGGAAUAGAAAUAAUUCAAACACGGUUUCUCAUCAGAAAUCAUGCAGAAAUAAAAUUCAAUGAUACAACUACUUGUGCUGUUCUGGUUCACCAGUACGGGAAUCAGCAAAGCCCCGAGGUAAUUGCUACGUGGUGAUAGGAAACUGCAUCAUUAUUAUAAACAAUAACAGAAGCAAUACCAGCAUCCAAAAUUCCUACAAUUGAAAUCAUGAUUGCUCAAAGUUGCCAAGAAAAUUCAUGAUCCAAGCCUUUGAUGGAUUCUCAACAGAGUAAUCAUAGACGAUCAAAGCUCUUAAAAGAUAAAACCAAACCAUGAAUGAAUUGUGCUCGACCCCGUAUGUCAACAUUUGAAACAAUCUUGAUGGGAAUUUGGGAAAAAGCUCAACAGAAGAAGCUGAAAUCUCUUAACCUUAAAAAACUACCUUUCCUGCAACCUGUUCCAAGGCCAAACAUAAUUAUGAUGAUUACUCAUUUUGCGCUCUCUUUAUUUAGUUCUAAUAAUAUUUGGCCUUUUUUGCUCGGUUUAACGGUAAAUCUUUUUGUAUCCAAUCAUAUCCUGUCAAGUAACCUAAUCAUGUGUUUGGAAUGCAUACGAUUUAGUUAAGCUCCAAAAAAUGCAUACAAGAAAAGGUCAAUUUUAGAGAAAAAUGGAUGGCGGUAAAUGAACAAAGCUAUGUAGCUGUUCUUAGAGAAAUUAACUUCCUGUGACUAUC